Columba livia (rock pigeon) is the source of this 12013-nucleotide RNA transcript. It is a transcript of the gene named valosin containing protein lysine methyltransferase, with no coding region annotated. Lineage: Eukaryota; Metazoa; Chordata; Aves; Columbiformes; Columbidae. The record is from RefSeq and is a predicted model, not a curated record. The transcript is spliced from 10 exons.
GUCCGCCCCGGAGGAGGCGCCGCGCCGGCUCGGUGCGGCCAUGGCGGGCUUCGUGCGGGAGCUGGAGCGGCGGGCCGGGCCGGCCCUGCGGCUGGAGCAGCGGGCGAGGGGCGGCGUGGGCUGCGUGGUGUGGGACGCGGCGCUGGUGCUCGCCAAGUUCCUGGAGACCGGCAGCUGCCCCCUCGCCCACCGCCAUGUCCUGGAACUGGGCGCCGGCACCGGCGCCGUGGGCAUCAUGGCGGCCACGCUGGGGGCAGACGUGACGGUCACGGACCUGGAGGAGCUACAGGAGCUGCUGAGGGUGAAUAUAGAAAACAACAAACAUCUGGUGACAGGGUCAGUCCGAGCCAAGGUACUGAAAUGGGGUGAAGAUGUGACAGAAUUCCAGCCUCCCCCUGAUUAUAUACUGAUGGCUGAUUGCAUUUACUACGAGGAGUCGUUGGAACCGUUACUGAAGACGCUGAAAGACCUCACGGGCCCUGACACGUGUGUCCUGUGCUGUUACGAACAGAGGACGAUGGGAAAGAACCCUGAAAUUGAGAGAAAAUACUUUGAGCUGCUUCAGACGGACUUUGAGCUGGAAAGAAUUCCCCUGGAGAAGCACGACGAGGAGUAUCGCAGCGAGGACAUUCACAUCGUGAACAUCCACAGGAAGCAAACGAGUUUUCCGUCAUGAGGUUCUGACCACAUUAUCUGUCCUCUGGCAGCCAGCAGAGCUCUGGAGAAGAGGGCGAGGGGGUAGAAUAACACCGCAGGGGGACCGUCUGCGCUGUGGUUUGUGACUCAUCUGCAGAAAACGGCUUCGCGACCGUGGACUUGGCGUGAGGCUCCAGAAGCGGCCUCGUUCCACCAGGACAGACUUGAGCUGCUGAUGCCUGCAGGCCGAGGCAGAAAAAGGAACCAGAGCUUCCCCCGGAGCCGUGCUGGGCGCCUGUUCUGCUUCCCUGCGCUCCCCAGCGCUCGCGGAGCAGAUCCCAGGACACAGAACCGACGGCUCUGUGAGGAGAAAGCCGCGAGCGGGGUCUAUCCUGCAGCCCCAGGAAGAGGAUGGGACAUGGGGUGACAAUUCCUGCGCGUCCCCCGUCGCUGCUGCAGAGUCCCCAUGGAUUGUGUGGGGCCAGGACCUGCGCCCACGCAUCCCACGGCGCUGGUGGCUUCGCUUGGGAAGGUGGUGGGAAAAGCCAUCGGUGGCCUUGGGAGCACGGCCGGGUCGGAGAGCAUCAUUCCCACCCACUGCCAUCCCCUGUGCCGGCUUGGAUGAGGACCAGAGCAUCUUCCUCUGCAUCCAGAUGCGUGAAAUGGAGCCUGGAGACUUGUGCGCUGCACACCAAGGCUCUGGCUGGAAAAUAUGACGGCGGUUAAUGAGGAAAGCACGCCGAUGUGAUUUCCCUCCAACGCUGAACAGCUGGGGAAAACAUCAGGAAAACUCGGUAUCGCUCUGGUUUGCUGUGAGACAAAACCCUCCCGCGGGUGGAUUUUUGGGGUGUCAGCCCGGCCGUGCCUGAAACAAAACUCUACCCCCCACCCCAACGGGGGUUUCGGCACAGACGAUGCUCCUCGAGGUCACCACGGUGCCGUCGUUCCCAGCGGAGCUUUGCCAAGGGGGCAAACGGGCACCGUCAGCCUCCCGACCGCGGGACGUGGGUCAAUAUUGACCUUCUGGUUAAUCUACACCCGUCGGCGUCACGGGGACGUGGUUUAUUGAGGAGCAGCGCGACUGCGGGUGCAGGUGUUUGCUCUCUGGCUUUGCGGCGCUGAGAUUUGAGCCCCACCGAUGUCUCCUUGCCACGCACCCUUUUUUUGGGGAAAAAAACCUGCGUUUUUACACGACGUGCUGCCCAGGAGCCUGAACUCAUGCUGGGUGUAAAACCACACGGAGAACUCGCCGCUGCCCUCCCCGUGGGAUCCCUUGGGGUUUUCUCAGGUCCCCUGUAGCUCUCACAGCCUCCAGCAUCAAUCACCUCCCCACUGCCAACUUUGCAGCCUCUGGAAAACAAAAGCGAAACCUUGUCCCAACCAGAAAACUCUGAUCCAGCCCCCUGUGACCCUGCUGCAGAUGUGCCAAAUAUUUGCAGAUGUACACACACUUUUAGGUCUUGGUUUGGGAGAAGGAAGCAAGGCCAUAGCUGUAUUUCCUUCCAAAAAGAAAAAGAACACCCCAAACGCAAGUGUUAUGUAUAAUUCAGGCAGGCAACGCCCUGCAGAAGCUGUCAGGGCGGUCAGAGCUGGCUGGGAGAGCUCUGCAGAGGGGAUAUUUUGGGAAGAUGAGGGAUGCUGAGAUGGCAGGGUUGUUCCCAAGGCUUCACACUCGCGUAAAGAAAGGACAGAAGCACCCAGAUCCAGCCCCUGAGUCCCCCACAAACCCAGCAAGGCUGGUGUGUCUACCCCCAAAACCCCCGGAGCUGCGGCAGAGCGCUUGUUCAUGCCGUGACGCCCCUCGCAGCGUAAAGAUUAAGCAAAAAAGGGGGUGCUGUGGCUUGAGAGCAAAGGUUUUGCUCUGGAGUUAAACAGUGGGUCAUAAGAAGUGUCACUGGCCGUGGGUUUGGGGAAUUGGUGCAGGACGCGGUUGGGCUCUUGGGUCCCGGUUCACCAACAUCCCCAUCUCCUCUGGCACAGUACCAGCUGCUCUGCAGACGUCCCGAGACUGGGAUGCUUUUAGCUGGGGGUCUGUUGAACACCAGCAUUGAUAAACCUUUGCAAUUUAUUUAUAUAUAUAUAUAUAUAUAUAUAAAAACCUCUGCAAUAUUUGUGUGCAUAUAUACAUAUAUAUAUAUAUAUAUAUUCUUUCAUUUACAGCAUGAAAAGGGGGAAAUGAACAUUUCUGGGAGCUCUCGUAUUUGCAUGUUGUUGCCAGCAGGACAUUGUGUUGGUAGAUGUGCAUAUAAAACCAGACGGACACCCACGGCCGGGAGCGGGUGCAGAAAGGGUCGUGUGUGUCCCCACCACGUCCCUGCUCGGCUGCCGCUGGCUUUAGAUCUAGCUUAGAUCUACAUUUCCAGGCAUUUUGCACCCCGCCGUGCCCGACCACGGCCCCACGUGCGCACCGCAGCCAAGUGAAGCGCGUUAGAUGUUGGCUCUGCUGCAGAAACAUCAUCCAGCUCUUUUUAACGAGAGCUCCAAGCUGACGCAGCAGCUGGCGGGGAGAGCUGCCGGUCCUCCCGCUCCUCCAGCAGCCGUUUGCUGGGGAGGAACGUGCGGCACCGAUCCCCCCAACACCGGGGAUGCCGAGACCCCCGCCAGCUGCUUCUCCUAAAACCCGGACCCCGAGCCCACGAACGCGCCUCGUGCGGCAUCCCCGUCCCGCACGGACUUUGCCAGGACCAGCGAUGCCAGCACAGCUGGAGUCUGCGUUUCCUCCCGUCUUCGGGAGGCAGCUUCAUUUCUAGCAUUAAUUGCUUUCUUAAUUACUAUCGUCACCCUCCGCGGUGUCUCGUAGGGAGCACUGAAUGACACGCUUGUUUGUGACGCUGGAUUGCCUGUUGUUUGGGUUUUUUUCCCAACCCCGUUUAUUUAUUAGCUGGCAUUACCUUCCGAGCCAACCGCAUUUAAUAUUUUUGUUCCAGUUGGCAAAGGUUUUAUGGACCGUGGAGAGGCUGAAAUCACUGAUGCGCCCCCACAGCGAGGCCAGGAUGGAGCAGCCCCCAUCCACAUCACAAACCCAACGGGAACCGGGGGAAGCAGCAACUUGGGCAUCACUUUCCCCCCAUUCUGCUCUCAAAAGCCUCCCUGUUGGCACAGAACUUACUCCAGACACACUGUACAUGCACAUACAUUCCUCAGCCGUGCGAUCAGACCGGAAAAGAUCGCACUCAGCCUCGGAACCGCAGCGGGAAGGAGGGCUGGGGCAAAGCCGCGCGUGAACCGACGCGGGAGCGCGGCCGCCUCCAGAAAAGCUGCAGUCAACACUUUCCUGUUUUAGGAGCUGCGGUGCUAAAAGAGGAACCGCUGAGGGACGCGCAGUUGGAAAGGCCUGGAUGGGUGUGGGGGGGAAGUGCUUUUAUUUUGGCAAAAUCCUCCUUCCUCUUGCAAAUGUCUCUGCAGGACUUUGUGCAUCUGCAAACCCGCCUGGGAUCCUGCACCAUGAGCACCAGUAAGAUGCCACCACACCAGUAAGAUGCCACCACACCGGCGUCUUCCCUGAGCCCAGACUUUGCCUGUCCCCUCUUCUGUCACCGACCACCGUGGCUGGGAUGCGAAGCCAAAGGGUGGCUGAGAGCAGCAUCACCCACCCGGUGUCGCUGCUCCAAUACAGGGAACAGGCUUUGACAACAACAACUCUGCAGUACCUUGAAAAAAAUCAGAGAAGAUGGAGAAUCGUCAUCUCGGCCCUGAUGCCCCUGCGAACGCCUCCACCGGCGUAAACUCAAAGGUGUUAUUGCGGUAUGAGAAAGGAUGCAGUAAUCCGGGUUUUGCCAUUGAAAACAAUGGAAAUAAACCCCUUUGAGGAAGACAGAGCCUUCCCCACGGCGCUGCUCUGCCUCUCUGCCCGGUGCGUGUCACCCUCCCGUCCCCACCACCCUCCACCCAUCCUUUCCCCAUCUUGUGCCGCCUCCAACACCAUCCCAGCCACCAGAGCUUUUGAUUUCCCCAUUAUCUCCUAAACCCAGAGGCAAAACAAAACCAGGGCUGAUAGAACCAGCUGUGCCCCCCUCUUGCCUCCGUAUCUGCCAUUAGCAUGUUGAGACAUCGCUGCCUACGAGGAGGGCGCAACAGGAUAUUUAUUCUUCAUUAGUCACCUCACCCUCCCUAUCUGUCAUCUGCAAGCGCCCCGGCUUGAACUGCAGGUUUGGGAACAGGCUGGUUGUGCCCACGCAGCCACGGCGCGGCUGUCCUGGAGCCUCCCCUGGUGCCACCGUGAAUGUUUUUGGCAACCUGGGGAUGCCAGGGAGUUGGUAGAUGUUAAAUACAUCCCCAGAUCCAAUGCUUUAAAUAGCACCUUCUUUUUUUUUGAAGACGGUCGCUGGGAGGUGGGUUGGAGCUCAGAGUGAGCCUGCUCGCCCUAAACCUCUCCACACUAUGGGAAAAAUAUUCCAGGUGCAUUAAGCAGCCUGCGAUUCAUUAGCAAUCCAAGAGAGGAGGAAGCUGCGAGCUUCAGAGAGACAUCCAUUCAUAAAACCCUCGAGUGUUGGGAAGCUCCAGUUUUCCCGAGAGCAGCCCGGGCUCUACAUAAUGCAUCAAGUCGGCAAACACCGGGCAGAACGAGUUAACCCACAGAUCCCGCUCGGAUGCCAACGCUCCAGCGGCAACGUGAUCAACCAGUUUCACUACUCGGAGCAUUUCUGGGAGGACCAAGAGCUGGAACACCUGGAAGAGGGGAAGGAGAUGUGCAGCCCCUUUGUUUUGGUGACCGUGAGCAAAAGCAAGCAGCAUUGGAGCAAGGGGGUUCGAGCUGUGACCUCGGGUAAGGGAAACCCAUAGGUGACUUCAAAGCGGCAAAGCUGCAGCUCAUCUGCAUAGAUGCAGCCCCCUUCAUCAAUCAUUAAUAAGGACCAUGAUGGAAAGAAAAGCUGGGAAGCUUCGGUACCGUGUUUAAGAGCAUAACCUCAUAUCAAGGGGAAAAAUGCAUGUGAUUUCUUCAUUAGGUAUCAGCCAAACAGGUGAGGCGGGAGCUGAGAUGCUGAGAUUGCAGCUGCGGGGCUGCAGAUAGCAUUACUUAGGGGAGAACUUAUCACGGCCUUGGUCUGAAAUAUCCCCAUCCCUUGCUACAGAGGGCCAGAAAGCUGCAGCAAACGUGGCCAGGAGCGGGUCGGGGGCACAAAGGUGCCUUUGCAGCUGCAGGACACCGGCAGGAGCACCCCAGGGUGACAGCGGCCCCAGCUCACACACACCACAUACUCAAGAUGCUUGAGGCAAGGGCUGGAGGACUUUGAAUUCAUUAACUGGUCCAAGGUUGUAAGAUGAGCCGGGGCGAGAUCCAGGGACAGCUCGUUGGCGGCGACUCAACGUCUUCCACAAUGCAGCGACUUUGAGAGCGGCCCUCGCUGAGCUUGGCUCCUUUUCCAGCCAGCAGGUGCUGGGGAAGCUUGUUCCAAAGCUUCGUAUCGGGCGGCAAGAAGCAAUCCAGCGCUCCAGGGGCGGCCGUCCCGCUGCUGCCCCUCGCCGCCCCCUUAAAGGCUUUUAUUUUCAGCGCUGAUGUGAAAACCAGCCCAGUCAUUGCAGCCAAAACAACCCUUUAGAUCAAAAAUAUGAGUACGUACGUGAUAUGUCGCAUACAAUUCGAACAUUUAAACACGAUGCAAUUUGAACACUCAGACGCGCUUUGGGGGGAAAGGUAGAGCCAAAUCACUGCUUUGCUCACAAAAGCUUCCGGCCCCGCGGUGCGAGAUGGGCGCUGGGUUUGGUUACGGUUAAAGCAGCGGAUUGAAAGGCACAAGGACGCCAUAGGAAAAGCUUCCCGAAGAGCUGGGUCAGUUCCAGCCUAAUCCAGCCCCUGUGGGGAAAGGGCGUUCUGGCAGAUGUUAAGCUAAUGGGAUAAGCGCACCUCGCUCUGCUGACGGGCGGCCGCUGAGAGUUAACAGCCCCCCGCUUUCAAAGGGAAAAGGGAGAAAGCUCCUCGGGGCAAAAAUAGCAAAUAUUAACAGCACGAGGACUACGCAGCCCCACGUUCCGUGCUUGCAAAGUGCAAAGUCUCCCGAGGCAGCGCGCCAAGCAAACGCUGCUCCGAGGGAGAAGUUGCCGGCGCCGGGGCCGCUGUCAGAUCCACCUGGAAGCAAACCCAUUGAGCUCCCACCCUUCGUGUAACGAGUUUGUUCCUCAAAUAUCAGCUUCAAAUGAAGGCCAGAAGUAUUUCGGGGCUGGUGUCGGCCCUGCGCGCUUUCCUCCGCUCCACUCCAUCUCCAGUACGACGAUCGAGGCAGGGACCACCUGCCCCAUUCCACCUUUUCUGAUGGACCCUCAUGGACAAGAAUUGAACACACGAACAACAGAAUCUUUUCAGAUAGUCCUAGUUAAGGCUGGGAAGAUGCUGCCCUUGCUGCAGCCAGCCAGCCCGCCCCAUCUGUCCCGCUCCCCUGUAACAGAACAGCGUGAGCGUCUUGAGGUCUUUCACUUUUACCCCCAUAAAAUGCAAAGCGAGUGCGCUCCCCUAAAACAGUCAACCCCCCAUAUCAGCACACAACGCGGUGUUUUGCUGCAGCUUCCCACAAGUUUUCAUCUCCUGCAACGACAAAAGAGAAAACCUCCCCUCCAUCGGAAAGAGACUUGGGGAUGGGACCUGGCCCAGGCAGCGGCACCCCCGUUACAUUUGGAACAAGGAACCCGUUCUGGUCACUGCCCCUGCAACAAGCUCAGGAGUUCAGCUCCUUAUCCACACCUCAGCUUUCUUCUCUUCUCUUUUUACCCCUGACUGAGUUUUCACCACGUGUGACGGGCGGCUGGGGCACAAGGGGACCUGCCCUGAGCCGGGAGCUGCUGGCGGUUCCCCCUCGAGCCUACACUCAGCUGAAUAUGGAAAGGUGUUUCAAGUGCCAUCGAUUUCCAAGCGUUAUCAAUUUUCAAGCAUUACCAAUCUCUGCUUCUCACGAAACAGACACCCAUUCAAUCCUGAUUCCUUUUUCUCUAACAACACUAGCCUAAGAGAUAUGACUAAAGAAACCCACAACAGGGCGAAGCACAUCCUCUGGAAGGCAAAACGCUCCUCUUGAGGCGAAGCGAGGGCCUGAGCCUGUUCAACCGCUGCGAGACUGAGGCUGGAGAGCUCAGCAGAUGACUCACAUCUUCACUUCUUUUUUUUUCCCCUCCUCUGUUUUUUAAGGAGGCCAGAGAUACCUGUUCUUAAGCAAGAGGAGCAACUUCCUGCAUCACACGUCGCAGACCCGUUUUGCUGCCUAUGAAAAGGCGCCUUUGCCACCGGCUCCCGGGGCCGAGCACUCGGGCUCUGACUCACUCGUCGCCCCACGGAACCCACGGCGGGGCUAAAAUUACACUGCCCCGCAUUUUGAAAGCGAGAUGGAUCGCGGUGCUCGAGUCACCCACCUCAGCCCGAAGUCUUGAAGGCGUCUGCUUAGACAUAGUUUUGAAACUUAAAGACUUGAGCGGCGUCGGUGGCGAAGUCGAGCUUAAGAUGACAGAGAGGAACAGAGUUUAUGAGCGGAGGUGGCACAAACUCGACAGCCCCUUACUUACAGCCCCACGAGAGGCGAGGGGAAAGGGCUUUGUUUCCAGACAGCGCCAAAUCCAAAGUGAUUUCAGGUUCCACGUACCAAACCCUUUGGGCUGGACAGAUAUUAGAAACAACUCCAAGAUAAAAAGCGCAGCCGGGCGUUAGCGGGAGGUCUGAGUCACGGUGCCCACGCCAAGGCAGCUUCCACGCUCCGGAGCAAGUUCUCCGCUCCCAGCGGUUGCUUCUCCCAUUCCCAGUGACACAAGAAGUAACACUCAGGUCCACCAGCGAAGCAACCGGUUAUCCCAGAUCUCGCAGGCAACUGUUUUGGUGACGCGACUGAUUUUUCUUGUUCUAAAGCGAGGGACGUUGCUUUGCGAGGACUCUUGUAUUGGCAGGGUUAAUUUCCAGUUAGGGGCGGCGGGUUUUUUUUCCAAACCCUGUCCACGAGGCCCGUGACCGUGGCAGAAAUCCUGCAGGAGCGUGAGUCACGGCGCGGUUCGGGGAGGGAGUCACGCUAACUCCUGCUGGAACAAAGGUCCGAUUUAAACCGAUAAGUGCUGACACUCCAAAAAAUGACUCAGUACUACAAUGAAAAGAGACUCGAGUUUACUCUUCUGGAGCCUUGUCUCCAAACUCCCAAGUAGUUUAAUUAAGUCAGAGUAAGUUCAUUUACACAGCCACACCCUUAACUGACAUUCAGGUAGACAGAGCCUGGCCUAAAUACCCCGGACUAAAAAGGUUUUUGCAGAGGAUUGCAGGACCCACCGCCCUGUUACCCCCACCUGGGUAAAGAACAUUCCUGAAAGCUCCGCAACAAGGCGACGGCUCCUCGCAGCCCCACACCCCGGGUGCUGGGAGCUGCUCCAAUGUCCCCUGUGCCACCAGAGCCCCCGCCCCAGCAGCCCCACAGGUGGAACCGGGGCCGGGCGCUGCGGGGCGGCUGCUUCUCCGGGGGCUGUGGGACAGCAGCUGCCGCAGGACCCGCACGCCCCCGGCCCCGCUGCACCUGCCCCGGUCCUUCCAUCCGCUCCCGCGCCAUGCUCAGGCACCAAAUUCACGUGCACCAACACCCCUGUGCACCCCUCGAGCCUUUUGUCCAUCGCUGCUUUUACUCUUCCCUUUCCAGGUGAUUUCCUCGGUGACGCGCGGCACCGUCCCGCGCAGCGCCGGGCCCUCCGUGCCCGCUCCCGGAGCCCAUCGCCUCCCCAGGCAACGUAAACUCGACACUAAAGUUUGCUCAAGGUUGGUAACUGCAAGUGGGGAGAAUUAAAGAAGUAUCAUCCUUUCCACUUAUAAAAAUAGUCACUACUCUGAGUCCCCGAGGAAUUACAGACAGGCUUUCAAAACUGUGCGAUACAGAACAGAGACCUCUUUAUGUCACAGAACGCUCCAUAUUGCCCCUUUCUGUUUCUCUCGUAAUUAAAUAUAAGUAACAUACCAGGAGAGCUCCGCUGUAUAAUUGCUUUAUUUUCUGCUUAUUAGUUCUUUACCAACACUACAGCCAUAUUGAGAACACAAAAUUCCUGUUUACUUUAGUCAGGGAGAUCACAGUCUACAAACUCAUUCACUUAUCGGACACGAUUAACGCCAUUCAAAACUUACUCCAUAAAUUCACAUGAACACAAAUUGAUGCACUUAAAACUCCAGAUUAGCUUGUAAAUCAUAGGAUUUCUUACAGAUUUGCCCCUGUAUCCUGCAGGCUGUGUUGAUGGCUUGACAGCCACCCGUUGGCGGUGAGGUUCAGCUACAGCCUAUAAAGGACAUGUGGAAAGUGAAACCUUUUCUCUUUUGUUCAGUAGCAAUGGCCAUUUAUUUGUGAAGUCGCUGCCACAUGUCUCAGCCACUUUUUUCUCCCCUUCCCACCCACCUCCCCCCCAAAAAAACCUUAAAAAAAAAAAUCAGAAGCGUAAUCAGUUUCCUUUCACCUACAAAAACAGAAUAACAAAGUCACUAAGGAAAUACAAAAUUGUGUAUUCAACUUAACGCAAAGUCUGCCCCAGCACUUGAGAACACAGUAAAUCAACUUAGACGAGAAAUGAAGUUAUUGAAGUUUUCAUGUUGACUGAGAAUAGAUUUAAGAAAGUUCAAGAACCAUUAAUAGAGCUUCAAGUUUUCCAGUUUAGGCAUUUACUUUGUGCUUGGCUAUUUUAUUUAUGCUCCAGAAGAAAACAGUAACCAUAUUCUUGUGUUUUUAGUCUUUAUACCACCACACUGUUUGUUCAGUUACAUCAACAGAAAAUUUAAAGGAAAAAAGCUAGAAAAUAGAGCAAUGAUAUUCCAGUGGCAAAAAGCCUUGAGUGAAAAAAAGGAACAAAAAAUAUCUUACCUCUUCUUUAGAGCUGAGAUCUAAGUUAUUCUACAUUACGCUUGUGAAGACUCAGUCAAUGCUCUAUCUUCUAGCACCAAGAACCCAUUCAGUCCCAUUUGCAACCCACAUAGAGAUAAAUCUUUCGGAACCGUAUUCUAAAGGAAUUUUUAAGUAGUCCAAAGCAUUCGAUUUCAGUAUUUUUAUCUUGCCAUAAAUCUUUGGUAAGAGCUCCAUGUACAAUGUCCUCAGCAUGCGGAGUCAACACUGCAGAAGUGUAGUGUAAUGCCCCCAGUUCCAUGUAAAACUCAUAUAGCUGGAAAAUAAAUUUAAAGAAAGAAAACAAAAAUAGCCAUUUUCUUCUGGUUUUGUAGCAUACAUUCCUAGAAUUCCCCAAUCAAGUUUAACUCCUUGAGGAAAUCUGAAGUUAAUCCUUAAGGCUGAAUAAGAACCAGCUGCUUUAACGUUUUUCACACCCAGCACUAAUACUUGAGUUUUUAUAGUAAUACUUGUUCUGGGUGGGUGGAGUUUUUAAGGGGUUCUUUUUGCCAGUCACAUCUGCAAACUGCGAUAUGGCAAAUGAGCUGCUUGCCCUUUAAGAACUAAUUAUGGAAGUUUACAUUCAUAGUCGUUUACUCUCUCUCUCUCUCUCUCUCUCCUCCCCGCUCUGGUUACUCAAUGGGCUUCAGCCAUCCAACAUAGUUCCCUUCCCGCAGGAGCACAGCAACAACCGAGAGAGACGGCAACUCCUCGGACGAGUUCAGUCCAGUCUUGGAAAACUAAAGCAAAGACUUAUUUCCUCAAAAUGGCCUUUAGUCAGAUGCCUGAAUUACCAGGCUCGGUUACAGCUUAGCACAGAACUCCCAAUUUCUUCCUCCAUGAGAUGAAAUUCAGAAAGAAUCUGAAAUCUUUUUUAAGAUUUAGACGCCUUAGACUGUCUUGAGACGGGAGCAACUCCCCUCGAUCGCAAGACAGGCAAGUCAGUGCUAGAUUUUCACCUAAACGUCCGUGAUUUGAAGUAAAACCUGUUGCAAUGCUUACACGUUAUUGCUGCGUUGUCUGGAAGGAACCUAUGGGAUCGGAGACUGACACCAGUAGGAAAAACUGCAGCUAAAACGUCUUUUGAAGUUUGCAAUGCAAGACAAAAACCGAACAGUAUCUACCCGGGAACUAUUACAUCAUUCCUGCCUUAUUUGCUAUAUGGUUGCUAUGUAGUAUGGGGAACUUAUUUGCAUCCCUUCUCAUGCAUGAUGUAUGGUUCAGAACUUCACAGCUGACAUUUCAAAGCGGUUCUUACAUUACCUGGCGGACGCUGCGCCUGAAAUGCACUUUGAACAUGUUACAAUGGUAUUCGCGCUGCCACCGCAGGCAAGAAUUCGUUUCGUUAUUAGUCUGAGAUAUGAAGACAGACUGAGAGUCACUAUUUAGUUACAGAUUAACAGAACUUUUUUUUUUUUUUUAAAAAAAGUCCUUAAUAUAAAAAGACAGACUGCAGUUUGAUUUUUAAGCAAUAAUUUUCAGUUUACUAGAUGAAGUAGACCUACCAACAUAUUCUGCGUGAAUGCAAAAAAGUAGCAAUCUACAGCAAGUGAUAGGAGGAAAAA